CUUUCUCAGUGACGAUCACAGAGCUGAAAGCAGGGGAUGCUGGGACAUACUGGUGUGGUUCAGACUCACAGUGGAGUGCUGGUAAUUACACCAAGAUUCAGCUGUCACUAGACUUUCAGCAGACCAGCACUGUGAUGUCUACUAUCAAUGUGGUUCCUACCUUCACUGUGGUGGAACCUGUCAGAUCACAAGCAACACCUAUCCCUGGAAAACAGAUC
This is a long non-coding RNA of Perca fluviatilis (European perch), 218 nucleotides long. RefSeq lists it as uncharacterized. The transcript has 2 exons. Lineage: Eukaryota; Metazoa; Chordata; Actinopteri; Perciformes; Percidae. The record is from RefSeq and is a predicted model, not a curated record.